This 988-nucleotide long non-coding RNA is filed under the name Homo sapiens (human). RNAcentral describes it as "non-protein coding lnc-FUT8-4:2". The record is from RNAcentral. Lineage: Eukaryota; Metazoa; Chordata; Mammalia; Primates; Hominidae.
AGUUGACGUGGGAUUUCACCAUAUUGGCCAGGCUGGUCUCGAACUCCUGACCUCGUGAUCCACUGGCUUCUGCCUCCCAAAGUGCUGGGAUUACAGGUGUGAGCCACCACACUGGCUUACCAAGGCAGACAAGUUCAUCUUCAAGAAAACUAAGAGAUCUCUUCCCCUGACAAAAAACAACUCCAUGUUUGAUGGGACUCAGACCUGGGCUCUUCUGUCACCUCUAGGUAGGGAGGUCUUGGAGAGCAAGUGAGACCAGAGUGUUCAUGGAAAGUCACCAUCCACAGACAUUGGAAAAAUAGUCAUUCCCAAUUUCUGCUAUGUGAUCCCGUUUAGGAGUCACCCUACCAAGUGGGUAUGAUGAUGAAGGUGAGCUGCUAAGAAAGAGGUUGAGAGACAGCUGAUGUUUGUUUCAAGCAAAUCUUCUUUAACCCGAGGCACCAGGAGCAGAGGGCCAGUGGGUAAAAAGGUUAAGUAGGAUGGAAUCUACAAUAAAGCCAAAUGUGUGGGUUCUAUUGCUGAUCUUGUCGUUAUUUUGGAUUUUUGGAGUGGAGAUGAAAUGAAAAUGUUUGUUUUGUAUCUACCUGCCCAGGAUGUAAGUAAGAGGGAAGAACAAGACUCUAGGAGAGAAAUAGAGGCUCCCCUAAAAAAACACCUUAAGUAAAUGUCAGGUGAUGUCACCCAUAAAGUCUUCCAGCCAUAAUAAUUUCACCUGAAAGCUAUUUAUUUUGGAAACAGACAGAAAGCCCUGUCUGUUCCACUUUAAAGUUUCACAUUAAUACUCCCUCAUUUUCCGAUGUUAGAAUACUUCCAGGACUAUAGGUGAAAUAAGUCUACUAGAAGAUUAGCCAAACAUCUGUUUGUCUACAUAGUGACCCUUACAGCAUCAAAAUUUUCUUUGACUCUUCCAUGUAAAGAAUUAUGAAAAAUAUAGUAAUACUUCUAAAAAAAUUUCACAAGAAGGUUUUUUUUUUUUUUUUUUUUUUUU